RNAcentral lists this ribosomal RNA (478 nucleotides) under uncultured Desulfobulbus sp. RNAcentral describes it as "bacterial SSU rRNA". It matches the Rfam family "Bacterial small subunit ribosomal RNA", at positions 910 to 1382 of the family's 1533-position model. Lineage: Bacteria; Pseudomonadati; Thermodesulfobacteriota; Desulfobulbia; Desulfobulbales; Desulfobulbaceae. The record is from RNAcentral.
UUGACGGGGCCCGCACAAGCGGUGGAGUAUGUGGUUUAAUUCGAUGCAACGCGAAGAACCUUACCUGGUCUUGACAUCCCGGAGACCCUUAGGAAACUAGGGGGUGCUUCCAUCUGGAAGAAUCUGGAGACAGGUGCUGCAUGGGCUGUCGUCAGCUCGUGUCGUGAGAUGUUGGGUUAAGUCCCGCAACGAGCGCAACCCUUGCCUUUAGUUGCCAGCAGUUCGGCUGGGCACUCUAAAGGGACUGCCGGUGUUAAACCGGAGGAAGGUGGGGAUGACGUCAAGUCCUCAUGGCCUUUAUGACCAGGGCUACACACGUACUACAAUGGCCGAUACAAAGGGCAGCGACACUGCGAGGUGAAGCCAAUCCCGUAAAAUCGGUCUCAGUCCGGAUUGGAGUCUGCAACUCGACUCCAUGAAGUUGGAAUCGCUAGUAAUCGUGGAUCAGCAUGCCACGGUGAAUACGUUCCCGGGCCUU